GUGCACAAGCAACCAAAAACAAAUACAAAGUAGCAGCAAAAGCAAAUGUCUUACAGUGGCCAAAAAAAUGCGCCCACAAAGAUACAAAGAAAACCCCUCAUACAUACACAAUAAACACCAAAUGUGCUGCACAAAAAACCACCCAUUACACAGCCUACAGUCAGCACACUCAAACCUGCCAACACAUCACAACAUCCAUAACACAGCCUACAAUUAGCACCAACAGCAAAGCCACACAGCUUAGCCGAAGCUCCUCCACCCCUUUGUUCACUUACCUCUUAAGGCAAUCCUCCUGAUCCCAACACCAUUCAUAAUAAAGACAAGGAGACGUUUUAAGCCCGUGUAAAUUCUAAAUCCAAGAGAGGACUUUGACUUCCUCUACCAAUUCGUCAUCUAACUUUAUUAAACACCUUAUCAUUCCGCACGCGCCACAAAACCUAGAUAGCCGCAUGCUAAAUUAACCUAGAAACCCUUUUGCAACGCCUUUCCUCUCGCUUCCCUCAUCAAACACUCAAA
RNAcentral lists this long non-coding RNA (516 nucleotides) under Medicago truncatula (barrel medic). RNAcentral describes it as "long non-coding RNA (MTRU_LNC003643)". Lineage: Eukaryota; Viridiplantae; Streptophyta; Magnoliopsida; Fabales; Fabaceae. The record is from RNAcentral.